UGGGGGAUAGUUUAGCGGUAGAACUUCCGACUCUGACUCGGACAGCCUUGGUUCGAAUCCAGGUCCCCCAGCCA
This 74-nucleotide transfer RNA is filed under the name Janthinobacterium lividum. RNAcentral describes it as "tRNA-Gln". It matches the Rfam family "tRNA". Rfam says of the family: Transfer RNA (tRNA) molecules are approximately 80 nucleotides in length. The record is from RNAcentral. RNAcentral also lists the same sequence under 7 other names. Lineage: Bacteria; Pseudomonadati; Pseudomonadota; Betaproteobacteria; Burkholderiales; Oxalobacteraceae.